AGCGAACGCUGGCGGCAGGCCUAACACAUGCAAGUCGAGCGCCCGUAGCAAUACGGGAGCGGCAGACGGGAGAGUAACACGUGGGAACGUACCCUUCAGUUCGGAACAACCCAGGGAAACUUGGGCUAAUACCGAAUACGUCCGUAAGGAGAAAGAUUUAUCGCUGAAGGAUCGGCCCGCGUCUGAUUAGCUAGUUGGUGAGGUAACGGCUCACCAAGGCGACGAUCAGUAGCUGGCUGAGAGGAUGAUCAGCCUCACUGGGACUGAGACACGGCCCAGACUCCUACGGGAGGCAGCAGUGGGGAAUAUUGGACAAUGGGCGCAAGCCUGAUCCAGCCAUGCCGCGUGGAUGAUGAAGG
Molecule: ribosomal RNA, 359 nt
Filed under: uncultured bacterium
Lineage: Bacteria
Description: bacterial SSU rRNA
Rfam family: Bacterial small subunit ribosomal RNA
Source: RNAcentral